This 496-nucleotide ribosomal RNA is filed under the name uncultured bacterium. Its description in RNAcentral is "partial 16S ribosomal RNA". It matches the Rfam family "Bacterial small subunit ribosomal RNA", at positions 29 to 507 of the family's 1533-position model. The record is from RNAcentral.
AUGAACGCUGGCGGCGUGCCUAAUACAUGCAAGUCGCGCGAACAGACGAGGAGCUUGCUCCUCUGACGUUAGCGGCGGACGUGUGAGUAACACGUGGAUAACCUACCUAUAAGACUGGGAUAACUUCGGGAAACCGGAGCUAAUACCGGAUAAUAUAUUGAACCGCAUGGUUCAAUAGUGAAAGACGGUUUUGCUGUCACUUAUAGAUGGAUCCGCACCGCAUUAGCUAGUUGGUAAGGUAACGGCUUACCAAGGCAACGAUGCGUAGCCGACCUGAGAGGGUGAUCGGCCACACUGGAACUGAGACACGGUCCAGACUCCUACGGGAGGCAGCAGUAGGGAAUCUUCCGCAAUGGGCGAAAGCCUGACGGAGCAACGCCGCGUGAGUGAUGAAGGUCUUCGGAUCGUAAAACUCUGUUAUUAGGGAAGAACAAAUGUGUAAGUAACUAUGCACGUCUUGACGGUACCUAAUCAGAAAGCCACGGCUAACUACGUG